CACCGACAUCAAUGAUUCGUUCUGCGAACCAUGGCCAACCGCCAGAUAAGAGUGCAUACCCAGCUCUUUCAUCUGCUGUUCGCCAAUGACGCGAGUGACGAUAUUGGUGCUGAACGCAUCGGCCAGUUGACGCGCCUGUGACGCCAAAUACGCGGCGUUACAGAUAUUGGGCGGCAUAUUGCCCAAGUCUUUGGC
This 195-nucleotide antisense RNA is filed under the name Yersinia mollaretii ATCC 43969. RNAcentral describes it as "Yersinia sRNA 276". It matches the Rfam family "Yersinia sRNA 276". The record is from Rfam by way of RNAcentral. Lineage: Bacteria; Pseudomonadati; Pseudomonadota; Gammaproteobacteria; Enterobacterales; Yersiniaceae.